Long non-coding RNA from Acromyrmex echinatior (Panamanian leafcutter ant), 547 nucleotides. The record is from RefSeq and is a predicted model, not a curated record. Lineage: Eukaryota; Metazoa; Arthropoda; Insecta; Hymenoptera; Formicidae.
AUUCUUUAGGGACUUUGGCUACGGACAUUUUAUCCCUGGAAAAAAAAUUUCUAUUGGAUAUCGAAAGGUGGCUCUCCAUGAAAGUUAAGACUGUCACACAUAAUACUAUAUUAUACAUCGAACAAACCGGGUAUGCAUUGAUGUGUUAUGUGAUUACAUCGUCACAUUAUAUUGGCGCAGGUAAUAAUCGCUAUAAUUAUUUCUCCGUAUAUUCUUGUUAUGGAACAAGAACCUAUGAAAAGACAAAUCUGAAAAUUCGAUGAAAAUAUAUGUUUGACCGUGUACAAUUGGGACUUAGUUGAUAGAGAUAAUUUUCUCAAGGGUUCUUUAAUAGUAAUUAUAACGAUAACAUACAAAACAUUUAAAUCCUAUGUACUGCUCCUUCGCAAUUCUAUUUACACAUUUAAUAUUCUUCUAAGCCUGUCACAUUUUUGUGUCUUGGAAAAAUCGUAAUAUAAUGAGAACGAAUUAUCUAUACUAUUAUAUCUACAAGAAAAGGAAAAGCAAAGUAAGAGAAAAAACCGAACAUCCACAUAUUGUACGAAAA